This is a non-coding RNA of Salvia hispanica, 766 nucleotides long. The record is from RefSeq and is a predicted model, not a curated record. Lineage: Eukaryota; Viridiplantae; Streptophyta; Magnoliopsida; Lamiales; Lamiaceae.
UUAUCAUUUAUCAAUCUUCUUCAAUGAUUUUUAGCCCAUAUAAUCAAACAAAAAUUUCUUCUUCUUUCUGCGUGUUGAAGACAAGCAAGAACAAUGCCCCAAAAAAUACACGCACAAGAUAAAGUAGGUGAAUUGCUAGAAGCUCAAUAUUUCUUUCAUUUUGUUGUGCCAUUUUUGGUUUCUGAAGAAGACGAGGAAGAAGCCUUGUAAUUGCAGAAUUCUGGCGAAGAAUUGAUUGCAGAUUGCAAUCACCAAUCAGAAUGCACUCAACGUGUUCGAUGAAAUUUCUAAAUGAGAUUUGGGAUACUGUUCCUACUUCUAAAUGAGAUUGAGGGCGUCAUUCUAGAUUCCACUACAAAAAUUUCAAAUUUGUGAAAGCAUUCCAAUAGGCCUCCCUGGUAACUUCCUGUGAACCGGUGGUGCAAUUUCUUCUUUACCAGUUUCAGCCCACAAGAUCUUUCCUCUCACGGGUUGUAUCAUGAACUGAUAGGCCUUCAAAUAUGUAGAUUCCACAUACCAAUGAGCAACGAAAUUUUCUGGCUCCAACCCUUCACUGUGCAGGACACAAACUGCAUGUUGGCAUGGGAUACCAGUCUUCUUUAACAUAAGAUAUAAUCUCUGGAUAUGAGAUCUUAUCAAUGUCCAAGGCAUCACACACUUGAGUAACUUUUCCACCAACAUAGCGACGUCUACUAUCAUCAACAAAUCUACCCCCAUGAUGUAUAGACAAUAUAAAUGUUAUUUCAGACAUUCUGCAUAAGCACAA